RNAcentral lists this ribosomal RNA (508 nucleotides) under uncultured bacterium. RNAcentral's name for it is "partial 16S ribosomal RNA". It matches the Rfam family "Bacterial small subunit ribosomal RNA", at positions 28 to 523 of the family's 1533-position model. The record is from RNAcentral.
GAUGAACGCUAGCUACAGGCUUAACACAUGCAAGUCGAGGGGAAACGACAUCGAAAGCUUGCUUUUGAUGGGCGUCGACCGGCGCACGGGUGAGUAACGCGUAUCCAACCUGCCCACCACUUGGGGAUAACCUUGCGAGAGUAAGACUAAUACCCAAUGAUAUCUCUAGAAGACACCUGAAGGAGAGUAAAGAUUUAUGGGUGAGGGAUGGGGAUGCGUCUGAUUAGCUUGUUGGCGGGGUAACGGCCCACCAAUGCGACGAUCAGUAGGGGUUCUGAGAGGAAGGUCCCCCACAUUGGAACUGAGACACGGUCCAAACUCCUACGGGAGGCAGCAGUGAGGAAUAUUGGUCAAUGGGCGAGAGCUUGAACCAGCCAAGUAGCGUGCAGGAUGACGGCCCUAUGGGUUGUAAACUGCUUUUAUAAGGGAAUAAAGUGAGCCUCGUGAGGCUUUUUGCAUGUACCUUAUGAAUAAGGACCGGCUAAUUCCGUGCCAGCCGCCGCAGUAA